UACGUAGGGUGCGAGCGUUGUCCGGAAUUAUUGGGCGUAAAGAGCUUGUAGGCGGUUUGUCGCGUCUGCCGUGAAAAUUCGAGGCUCAACCUCGAACUUGCGGUGGGUACGGGCAGACUAGAGUGUGGUAGGGGAGACUGGAAUUCCUGGUGUAGCGGUGAAAUGCGCAGAUAUCAGGAGGAACACCGAUGGCGAAGGCAGGUCUCUGGGCCGCUACUGACGCUGAGAAGCGAAAGCAUGGGGAGCGAAUAGG
Molecule: ribosomal RNA, 253 nt
Filed under: uncultured bacterium
Lineage: Bacteria
Description: partial 16S ribosomal RNA
Rfam family: Bacterial small subunit ribosomal RNA
Source: RNAcentral